This 723-nucleotide long non-coding RNA is filed under the name Homo sapiens (human). Its description in RNAcentral is "HSALNT0170184". Lineage: Eukaryota; Metazoa; Chordata; Mammalia; Primates; Hominidae. The record is from RNAcentral.
CGACUGAGACACGCCCACUUAUUCUACCAAUUCAGCGCACUCCAUUUCCGCUCAGAAACCAAAACUUAGUGGAGAGCCCCAGCGGCCGUGGUUCGCAGAAGACUCUCCCAUAAGAUGCACCGCCAUCCGUGUAGCUUGGCCUAACAAUAUGCCUGUUUUUAGAUGAAAAACCUCCUCUGCCCAACACGACCCAUCCCUUAGAGUUCAAAACCAAACUCACCUGGACCAAACCUGAGGCCACGUUGAAACAAGGUGCAGUGAGCUUUGCGUAAGUGUGGACAGUUUUCCGAGUUGUGGCACAGGAUUCUGUCUUUGUCUUUACCUCAGCUGAAGUGGAAACUCAGUCCGUGGCCCCCGCAAAUGCAGAGGUGCUGGUGACGCAGGGAGCCCAUGGAGUACUUACCGGUUCCCUGAGCUUUUUCUUCAUGCAUGUUCUUCUGGCCCCUGAGCUGAGCUGUGAAGUGACUGACCCAGGACCCCAGCCAGGGCUGUUGGAACCCAGAGGCCUGAAUCCAAGGCUGUGCUUCUCCUCGAAGGUUUACAGUGACGGGUGCUGUGCUGGCUGGGGGAGCGGGGCUUCCUGCCCUGACCAGCUUCCAGCCUGCCAUGCACGCAGGGUCGGCGAAGGCCCAAGAGGGCUGCAUGGGCAGGAAAAGGAUCCUCUUCUCAUAGUUCACUAACUGCCAUCGUGGGGCUGGCGGAAAGGCUGCUCUCGCUCUCUCG